This 1214-nucleotide ribosomal RNA is filed under the name Bacillus sp. LAMA 713. Its description in RNAcentral is "bacterial SSU rRNA". It matches the Rfam family "Bacterial small subunit ribosomal RNA", at positions 77 to 1278 of the family's 1533-position model. The record is from RNAcentral. Lineage: Bacteria; Bacillati; Bacillota; Bacilli; Caryophanales; Bacillaceae.
AGCUUGCUCCCGGAUGUUAGCGGCGGACGGGUGAGUACACGUGGGUAACCUGCCUGUAAGACUGGGAUAACUCCGGGAAACCGGAGCUAAUACCGGAUAGUUCCUUGAACCGCAUGGUUCAAGGAUGAAAGACGGUUUCGGCUGUCACUUACAGAUGGACCCGCGGCGCAUUAGCUAGUUGGUGAGGUAACGGCUCACCAAGGCGACGAUGCGUAGCCGACCUGAGAGGGUGAUCGGCCACACUGGGACUGAGACACGGCCCAGACUCCUACGGGAGGCAGCAGUAGGGAAUCUUCCGCAAUGGACGAAAGUCUGACGGAGCAACGCCGCGUGAGUGAUGAAGGUUUUCGGAUCGUAAAGCUCUGUUGUUAGGGAAGAACAAGUGCAAGAGUAACUGCUUGCACCUUGACGGUACCUAACCAGAAAGCCACGGCUAACUACGUGCCAGCAGCCGCGGUAAUACGUAGGUGGCAAGCGUUGUCCGGAAUUAUUGGGCGUAAAGGGCUCGCAGGCGGUUUCUUAAGUCUGAUGUGAAAGCCCCCGGCUCAACCGGGGAGGGUCAUUGGAAACUGGGAAACUUGAGUGCAGAAGAGGAGAGUGGAAUUCCACGUGUAGCGGUGAAAUGCGUAGAGAUGUGGAGGAACACCAGUGGCGAAGGCGACUCUCUGGUCUGUAACUGACGCUGAGGAGCGAAAGCGUGGGGAGCGAACAGGAUUAGAUACCCUGGUAGUCCACGCCGUAAACGAUGAGUGCUAAGUGUUAGGGGGUUUCCGCCCCUUAGUGCUGCAGCUAACGCAUUAAGCACUCCGCCUGGGGAGUACGGUCGCAAGACUGAAACUCAAAGGAAUUGACGGGGGCCCGCACAAGCGGUGGAGCAUGUGGUUUAAUUCGAAGCAACGCGAAGAACCUUACCAGGUCUUGACAUCCUCUGACAACCCUAGAGAUAGGGCUUUCCCUUCGGGGACAGAGUGACAGGUGGUGCAUGGUUGUCGUCAGCUCGUGUCGUGAGAUGUUGGGUUAAGUCCCGCAACGAGCGCAACCCUUGAUCUUAGUUGCCAGCAUUCAGUUGGGCACUCUAAGGUGACUGCCGGUGACAAACCGGAGGAAGGUGUGGAUGACGUCAAAUCAUCAUGCCCCUUAUGACCUGGGCUACACACGUGCUACAAUGGACAGAACAAAGGGCUGCGAGACCGCAAGGUUUAGCCAAUCCCACA